RNAcentral lists this ribosomal RNA (400 nucleotides) under uncultured bacterium. Its description in RNAcentral is "bacterial SSU rRNA". It matches the Rfam family "Bacterial small subunit ribosomal RNA", at positions 64 to 507 of the family's 1533-position model. The record is from RNAcentral.
GAGCGGGUGUAGCAAUACAUCAGCGGCAGACGGGUGAGUAACGCGUGGGAACGUACCUUUUGGUUCGGAACAACCCCAGGGAAACUUGGGCUAAUACCGGAUAAGCCCUUACGGGGAAAGAUUUAUCGCCGAAAGAUCGGCCCGCGUCUGAUUAGCUAGUUGGUGAGGUAACGGCUCACCAAGGCGACGAUCAGUAGCUGGUCUGAGAGGAUGAUCAGCCACAUUGGGACUGAGACACGGCCCAAACUCCUACGGGAGGCAGCAGUGGGGAAUAUUGGACAAUGGGCGCAAGCCUGAUCCAGCCAUGCCGCGUGAGUGAUGAAGGCCCUAGGGUUGUAAAGCUCUUUUGUGCGGGAAGAUAAUGACGGUACCGCAAGAAUAAGCCCCGGCUAACUUCGUG